RNAcentral lists this unclassified non-coding RNA (1238 nucleotides) under Nanophyetus japonensis. RNAcentral's name for it is "sequence contains ITS1, 5.8S rRNA gene, ITS2". The stretch from base 793 to 945 matches the Rfam family "5.8S ribosomal RNA". Lineage: Eukaryota; Metazoa; Platyhelminthes; Trematoda; Plagiorchiida; Nanophyetidae. The record is from RNAcentral.
CAUUACAGAAAUCCCAAUUAAGCAAGAGCUCAGCACGACUGGGCGAGAAGACCAAUGGGUAGUCAUACUCGUUGAUCGAUAAUCCUCACAGCCUGACCAACUGUGGGGAAUGAGCUUUUAUAGCGAGCUCAGGGGUGUUUGCGUGACACGGCACGCAUUCACUGUGAAGAGAGAAAAAGCGAAAAAAAGAGCUACCCUAAAGCUCAUGAAAAUGGUUUGAUCGCGUAUCCCGGCGCUUUCUUCCAUAUAUAUAAAGCAUUGCACAGAUAAUGAGUUUUGAGCUGGGGCUCAUUAGUGCACAUUACGAUUGCAUGGUUGUGGCAACCGGUGAUCGUUAACUGCAGCUUUGUCUGCCUACGGUGGAGCGAUCCAGUUCUGCCUUUCGCCUGUGCCUGGUACAUUCGUGUACCUACGCACAGUUCUGGUUGUGACAGGGUGCCUACCCGUCUGAUGCUCUUUGUUAUGCUUGCCGUCUGUAGAUGGUCAGUCCAUAUCAGGAGUGACGGGAUGUGCUGUCAAAAUUGGCAGUGCUAGGCUUAAUGAGUGGUUCGACAUAACGAGCUACGGCUCAGCCACCGCCCUGUUUGCUGUUUGUUGCAACAAAAUCCCAUAUUACACUGUUCAAGUGGUUCAGAUCGGACAUUGCUCACCCAACCGGUUUGAAUCAUUGCCCGACAUGCACCUGGUCUCGUACUGGAAUGCAUGUGCAGUCGCCUGGCGGUGCCUUAUCCUGGGCUAGACUGAGUAACCAAGCGUCGCUCAUCCGAAUCCCUGGAUGUUCGAUGUGAGUACAACUCUGUGCGGUGGAUCACUCGGCUCGUGUGUCGAUGAAGAGCGCAGCCAACUGUGUGAAUUAAUGUGAACUGCAUACUGCUUUGAACAUCGACAUCUUGAACGCAUAUUGCGGCCAUGGGUUAGCCUGUGGCCACGCGUGUCCGAGGGUCGGCUUAUAUACUAUCGCGACGCCCAAAAAGUCGCGGCUUGGGUCUUGCCAGCUGGCGUGAUAUCCCCUAUUUGGUCUUGUGCCUUUGUGGGGUGCCAGAACUAUGGCGUUUCCCUAAUGUACCCGGACGCACCAUGUUACGGCUAAAAGCCUUGACGAGAUGUGUCGAUAGAGUCGUGGCUCAGUGAUAUAUUUUAUGUGCGCGCUCUACCGUCAUGUUUUGUCUAUGGUUGGCUUGCUGUGGGUGGUUGUGUACCGAUGCUGACUAAUGUAUGUGCCAUAUGGCUCAUCAUUU